CGCGGGGUGGAGCAGCUCGGUAGCUCGUCGGGCUCAUAACCCGAAGGUCGUCGGUUCAAAUCCGGCCCCCGC
RNAcentral lists this transfer RNA (72 nucleotides) under Aeromonas caviae. RNAcentral describes it as "tRNA-Met". It matches the Rfam family "tRNA". From Rfam's summary of the family: Transfer RNA (tRNA) molecules are approximately 80 nucleotides in length. RNAcentral also lists the same sequence under 3 other names. Lineage: Bacteria; Pseudomonadati; Pseudomonadota; Gammaproteobacteria; Aeromonadales; Aeromonadaceae. The record is from RNAcentral.